This 73-nucleotide transfer RNA is filed under the name Gadus morhua (Atlantic cod). Its description in RNAcentral is "tRNA-Arg (TCT) (tRNA-Arg-TCT-12-1)". It matches the Rfam family "tRNA". Rfam says of the family: Transfer RNA (tRNA) molecules are approximately 80 nucleotides in length. Their secondary structure includes four short double-helical elements and three loops (D, anti-codon, and T loops). Lineage: Eukaryota; Metazoa; Chordata; Actinopteri; Gadiformes; Gadidae. The record is from RNAcentral.
GGCUCUGUGGCGCAAUGGAUAGCGCGUUGGACUUCUAAUUCAAUGGUUGUGGGUUCGAGUCCAACUAGAGUCG